RNA transcript from Otolemur garnettii (small-eared galago), 1577 nucleotides. It is a transcript of the gene named tubulin beta chain-like, with no coding region annotated. The record is from RefSeq and is a predicted model, not a curated record. The transcript has 3 exons. Lineage: Eukaryota; Metazoa; Chordata; Mammalia; Primates; Galagidae.
CCGGUCCUCUCCGCACUCACUGCUCCGAGGACCAGCGCCUCCACCCGCUCCGCAACCGGCACCAUGCGCGAGAUCGUGCACAUCCAGGCAGGCCAGUGCGGCAACCAGAUCGGCGCCAAGUUUUGGGAGGUCAUCAGCGAUGAGCAUGGGAUCGACCCCACAGGCAGUUACCAUGGAGACAGUGACUUGCAGCUGGAAUGUGUAAACAAGAAGAAUCUGCCACCCUAGGACUGGGCCUACCUCCUUCUCCACAGUCAAAAUGACCAAAUGUGAAAUUCUUUAUGUUUUACAGUCUAACAUUCCCUUUUCCCUCUGGCAGGCCAGAGUGGAGCCGGAAAUAACUGGGCAAAGGGCCACUACACAGAGGGAGCCGAGCUGGUAGACUCCGUCCUGGAUGUGGUCAGGAAGGAGUCAGAAAGCUGUGACUGUCUCCAGGGCUUCCAGCUGACACACUCGCUGGGGGGCGGCACGGGGUCUGGGAUGGGCACUCUGCUCAUCAGCAAGAUCCGCGAGGAGUAUCCAGACCGUAUCAUGAACACCUUCAGCGUCAUGCCCUCGCCCAAGGUGUCAGACACAGUAGUCGAGCCCUACAAUGCCACUCUCUCCGUCCACCAGCUGGUGGAAAACACAGAUGAAACCUACUGCAUUGACAACGAGGCCCUGUAUGACAUCUGCUUCCGCACCCUGAAGCUGACCACCCCCACAUACGGGGACCUCAACCACCUGGUGUCGGCCACCAUGAGUGGGGUCACGACCUGCCUGCGCUUCCCGGGCCAGCUGAACGCAGACCUGCGCAAACUGGCCGUGAACAUGGUGCCCUUCCCCCGUCUGCACUUCUUCAUGCCGGGCUUCGCGCCCCUGACCAGCCGGGGCAGCCAGCAGUACCGCGCCCUGACGGUGCCCGAGCUCACCCAGCAGAUGUUCGACUCCAAGAACAUGAUGGCCGCCUGCGACCCCCGCCACGGCCGCUACCUGACGGUGGCUGCCAUCUUCCGGGGCCGCAUGUCCAUGAAGGAGGUGGACGAGCAGAUGCUCAACGUGCAGAACAAGAACAGCAGCUACUUCGUCGAGUGGAUCCCCAACAACGUGAAGACGGCCGUGUGUGACAUCCCGCCCCGCGGCCUCAAGAUGUCGGCCACCUUCAUCGGCAACAGCACGGCCAUCCAGGAGCUGUUCAAGCGCAUCUCGGAGCAGUUCACGGCCAUGUUCCGGCGCAAGGCCUUCCUGCACUGGUACACGGGCGAGGGCAUGGACGAGAUGGAGUUCACUGAGGCCGAGAGCAACAUGAAUGACCUGGUGUCCGAGUACCAGCAGUACCAGGAUGCGACCGCUGAUGAACAGGGGGAGUUCGAGGAGGAGGAGGGCGAGGAUGAGGCUUAAGAACCUGUCAAAUCGGUUGUGCAUCCUUAGUGAACUUCUGUUGUCCUCAAGCAUGGUCUUUUUAUUUGUAUACUAUGGUGCUCAGUUUUGCCUCUGUUAUAAAUUGACACUGUUGAUGUAAUAAUGUGGAAUUCCUCUAAAGAUUACAAUAUUGUCUGUUAAGAUAUCUAUACUAAUAAAAAAGCAUGUGUAUAAAA